This 793-nucleotide ribosomal RNA is filed under the name beta proteobacterium endosymbiont of Nesophrosyne sp. RNAcentral's name for it is "bacterial SSU rRNA". It matches the Rfam family "Bacterial small subunit ribosomal RNA", at positions 555 to 1362 of the family's 1533-position model. The record is from RNAcentral. Lineage: Bacteria; Pseudomonadati; Pseudomonadota; Betaproteobacteria.
UGGGCGUAAAGUGUGUUCCGGCUGUUUAAAAAGAUUUAUAUUAAAUAUUUAAGUUCAACUUAAAUGACGUAUAAAUUACUAUUAGACUUGAGUUUAAUAUAAGAAAAUAGAAUUUUGUGUGUAGCGGUGAAAUGUGCAGAUAUACAAAGGAAUACCGAAGGCGAAAGCAUUUUUCUUGAUUAUAACUGACGCUUAUACACGAAAGCGUGGGUAGCAAACAGGAUUAGAUACCCUGGUAGUCCACGCCCUAAACUAUGUCGAUUAGCUGUUUUUUAGUAGCGAAGCUAACGCGUUAAAUCGACCGCCUGGGGACUACGAUCGCAAGAUUAAAACUCAAAGGAAUUGACGGGGACCAGCACAAGCGGUGGAUGAUGUGGAUUAAUUCGAUGAUACACGAAAAACCUUACCUACUCUUGACAUGGUUAGAAUUUUAUUGAAAAAUAAAAGCGCUUGAAAAAGAACUAACGCACAGGUGCUGCAUGGCUGUUGUCAGCUCGUGUCGUGAGAUGUUGGGUUAAGUCCCGCAACGAGCGCAACCCCCACUCUUAGUUGCUAGGUAUUAAAGUACUUUAAGAGAACUGCCGACGAUAAGUCUUGGAGGAAGGAGGGGAAGACUUCAAGUCCUCAUGGCCCUUAUGAGUAGGGCUUCACACGUCAUACAAUGGUUGAUACAAUAAGUUGCUAAAUUGCGAAAUGGAGCUAAUCUCAAAAAUCAAUCUUAGUUCGGAUUGUACUCUGCAACUCGAGUGCAUGAAGUUGGAAUCGCUAGUAAUCGCAGAUCAGCAUGCUGCGG